GAAGGUGGCCUGUGAGGGUUGCUGGAGGUAUCAGAAGUGCGAAUGCUGACAUAAGUAACGAUAAAGCGGGUGAAAAGCCCGCUCGCCGGAAGACCAAGGGUUCCUGUCCAACGUUAAUCGGGGCAGGGUGAGUCGACCCCUAAGGCGAGGCCGAAAGGCGUAGUCGAUGGGAAACGGGUUAAUAUUCCCGUACUUGGUGUUACUGCGAAGGGGGGACGGAGAAGGCUAUGUUGGCCGGGCGACGGUUGUCCCGGUUUAAGCGUGUAGGUGUGUGUUCCAGGUAAAUCCGGUUCACUUUAACACUGAGGCGUGAUGACGAGGCACUACGGUGCUGAAGCAACAAAUGCCCUGCUUCCAGGAAAAGCCUCUAAGCAUCAGGUAACAUCAAAUCGUACCCCAAACCGACACAGGUGGUCAGGUAGAGAAUACCAAGGCGCUUGAGAGAACUCGGGUGAAGGAACUAGGCAAAAUGGUGCCGUAACUUCGGGAGAAGGCACGCUGACAUGUAGGUGAAGUGAUUUACUCAUGGAGCUGAAGUCAGUCGAAGAUACCAGCUGGCUGCAACUGUUUAUUAAAAACACAGCACUGUGCAAACACGAAAGUGGACGUAUACGGUGUGACGCCUGCCCGGUGCCGGAAGGUUAAUUGAUGGGGUCAGCGCAAGCGAAGCUCCUGAUCGAAGCCCCGGUAAACGGCGGCCGUAACUAUAACGGUCCUAAGGUAGCGAAAUUCCUUGUCGGGUAAGUUCCGACCUGCACGAAUGGCGUAAUGAUGGCCAGGCUGUCUCCACCCGAGACUCAGUGAAAUUGAACUCGCUGUGAAGAUGCAGUGUACCCGCGGCAAGACGGAAAGACCCCGUGAACCUUUACUAUAGCUUGACACUGAACAUUGAGCCUUGAUGUGUAGGAUAGGUGGGAGGCUUUGAAGUGUGGACGCCAGUCUGCAUGGAGCCGACCUUGAAAUACCACCCUUUAAUGUUUGAUGUUCUAACGUGGACCCGUAAUCCGGGUUGCGGACAGUGUCUGGUGGGUAGUUUGACUGGGGCGGUCUCCUCCUAAAGAGUAACGGAGGAGCACGAAGGUUGGCUAAUCCUGGUCGGACAUCAGGAGGUUAGUGCAAUGGCAUAAGCCAGCUUGACUGCGAGCGUGACGGCGCGAGCAGGUGCGAAAGCAGGUCAUAGUGAUCCGGUGGUUCUGAAUGGAAGGGCCAUCGCUCAACGGAUAAAAGGUACUCCGGGGAUAACAGGCUGAUACCGCCCAAGAGUUCAUAUCGACGGCGGUGUUUGGCACCUCGAUGUCGGCUCAUCACAUCCUGGGGCUGAAGUAGGUCCCAAGGGUAUGGCUGUUCGCCAUUUAAAGUGGUACGCGAGCUGGGUUUAGAACGUCGUGAGACAGUUCGGUCCCUAUCUGCCGUGGGCGCUGGAGAACUGAGGGGGGCUGCUCCUAGUACGAGAGGACCGGAGUGGACGCAUCACUGGUGUUCGGGUUGUCAUGCCAAUGGCACUGCCCGGUAGCUAAAUGCGGAAGAGAUAAGUGCUGAAAGCAUCUAAGCACGAAACUUGCCCCGAGAUGAGUUCUCCCUGAGACUUUAGGUCUCCUGAAGGAACGUUGAAGACGACGACGUUGAUAGGCCGGGUGUGUAAGCGCAGCGAUGCGUUGAGCUAACCGGUACUAAUGAACCGUGAGGCUUAACCUUACAACGCCGAAG
RNAcentral lists this ribosomal RNA (1707 nucleotides) under Salmonella enterica subsp. enterica. Its description in RNAcentral is "bacterial LSU rRNA". It matches the Rfam family "Bacterial large subunit ribosomal RNA", at positions 1252 to 2925 of the family's 2925-position model. The record is from RNAcentral. Lineage: Bacteria; Pseudomonadati; Pseudomonadota; Gammaproteobacteria; Enterobacterales; Enterobacteriaceae.